Molecule: long non-coding RNA, 606 nt
Organism: Astyanax mexicanus (Mexican tetra)
Lineage: Eukaryota; Metazoa; Chordata; Actinopteri; Characiformes; Acestrorhamphidae
Exons: 4
Source: RefSeq, a predicted model, not a curated record
UUUACUAAGACUAUAAAUAGAACGGUGAACUGCUUGCGAUGUUCAAGAGUUCUAGCUUCCACCCAAUCACAGCGCAGGAGGGGCGUGGCUUAACGGAAUACGGGUGUAGGUCAAACCCUGCAUAUCGCCGAGUGCGUCUUUGCAGCUUUUCAGACACCAAUGGCGAAGGAAACCCAAGAGGUGCUGCAGACACAGCUCCAGGGUCUCCCCCUCCACUUCAUCCUCCGCCAAAGAGUCCGAUAGAGGCCGGGUGGGCAGAGGGCCAUCCUCGGGCAGGGGAGGCUUCAUCUCCCGCAAGAAAAGCUCCAGGAAACGCCGGCACUCAAGGCAUGAAGAGUGUCUCAGAGUCGUCUUAAUCCUGCUGCUGCUGCUGAUCUGUACGCGGACGCUUGCUGUGAUUUCCUGCCGCAGGGCUGGAGGGAUGCGCUUCAACUGAGUUACUGGAGUCUCUGAAACCUUGACCCUGAAAAGGGACAGAAAUUGGGCCAAACAUGAUGACCUAAAAUUGGAUCCACAGAUGCUGACCGUAAUCUGAUACUGGACUGUGGCCUCCUUUUGGUUUGGGGACUUGCAGAGAGAUGCCAUCCUGCAGGCAGAGAGAACAGA